This 425-nucleotide ribosomal RNA is filed under the name uncultured bacterium. RNAcentral describes it as "partial 16S ribosomal RNA". It matches the Rfam family "Bacterial small subunit ribosomal RNA", at positions 354 to 796 of the family's 1533-position model. The record is from RNAcentral.
GUUAGGAAUAUUGGACAAUGGGCGCAAGCCUGAUCCAGCCAUGCCGCGUGAGUGAUGAAGGCCUUCGGGUUGUAAAGCUCUUUAGCCGAUGAUUAUAAUGACUGUAGUCGGAAAAUAAGCCCCGGCUAACUUCGUGCCAGCAGCCGCGGUAAUACGAAGGGGGCGAGCGUUAUUCGGAAUCACUGGGCGUAAAGCGUGCGUAGGCGGCUUUGCAAGUUGGGAGUGAAAGCCCAGGGCUCAACCCUGGAAUUGCUCUCAAAACUGCAAGGCUCGAAUUCGGGAGAGGAUAGCGGAAUUGUCAGUGUAGCAGUGAAAUGCGUAGAUAUUGACAGGAACACCAGUGGCGUAAGCGGCUAUCUGGACCGAUAUUAACGCUGAGGCACGAAAGCGUGGGGAUCAAACAGGAUUAGAAACCCCAGUAGUCC